GAUACUGGCAAGNUUGAGUCUCGUAGAGGGNGGUAGAAUUCCAGGUGUAGCGGUGAAAUGCGUAGAGAUCUGGAGGAAUACCGGUGGCGAAGGCGGCCCCCUGGACGAAGACUGACGCUCAGGUGCGAAAGCGUGGGGAGCAAACAGGAUUAGAUACCCUGGUAGUCCACGCCGUAAACGAUGUCGACUUGGAGGUUGUGCCCUUGAGGCGUGGCUUCCGGAGCUAACGCGUUAAGUCGACCGCCUGGGGAGUACGGCCGCAAGGUUAAAACUCAAAUGAAUUGACGGAGGCCCGCACAAGCGGUGGAGCAUGUGGUUUAAUUCGAUGCAACGCGAAGAACCUUACCUGGUCUUGACAUCCACAGAACUUUCCAGAGAUGGAUUGGUGCCUUCGGGAACUGUGAGACAGGUGCUGCAUGGCUGUCGUCAGCUCGUGUUGUGAAAUGUUGGGUUAAGUCCCGCAACGAGUGCAACCCUUAUCCUUUGUUGCCAGCGGUCCGGCCGGGAACUCAAAGGAGACUGCCAGUGAUAAACUGGAGGAAGGUGGGGAUAACGUCAAGUCAUCAUGGCCCUUACGACCAGGGCUACACACGUGCUACAAUGGCGCAUACAAAGAGAAGCGACCUCGCGAGAGCAAGCGGACCUCAUAAAGUGCGUCGUAGUCCGGAUUGGAGUCUGCAACUCGACUCCAUGAAGUCGGAAUCGCUAGUAAUCGUGGAUCAGAAUGCCACGGUGAAUACGUUCCCGGGCCUUNNNCACACCGCCCGUCACACCAUGGGAGUGGGUUGCAAAAGAAGUAGGUAGCUUAACCUUCGGGAGGGCGCUUACCACUUUGUGAUUCAUGACUGGGGUGAAGUGGUAACAAGGUAACCGUAA
RNAcentral lists this ribosomal RNA (876 nucleotides) under uncultured bacterium. RNAcentral's name for it is "bacterial SSU rRNA". It matches the Rfam family "Bacterial small subunit ribosomal RNA", at positions 629 to 1505 of the family's 1533-position model. The record is from RNAcentral.